GAUGAAGAACGUAGCGAAAUGCGAUACUUGGUGUGAAUUGCAGAAUCCCGUGAACCAUCGAGUCUUUGAACGCAAGUUGCGCCCGAAGCCAUUAGGCCGAGGGCACGCCUGCCUGGGCGUCACACGUCGUUGCCCCCCCAUCUACUCCUUCGGGAUUGCGGGGGGCGGAUGAUGGCCUCCCGUGCGCCUCGCCGCGCGGUUGGCAUAAAUGCCAAGUCCUCGGCGACGCACGCCACGACAAUCGGUGGUUGCGAAACCUCGGUUGCCCGUCGUGUGCGGUCGUCGCGCAUCGAGGGCUCGAAAAAAUUGCCGGGUUCCGGCUCGGCUUUCAACGCGACCCCAGGUCAGGCGGGAUUACCCGCUGAAUUUAAGCAUAUCAAUAAGCGGAGGA
This 391-nucleotide unclassified non-coding RNA is filed under the name soil metagenome. RNAcentral describes it as "partial contains 5.8S ribosomal RNA, internal transcribed spacer 2, and large subunit ribosomal RNA". The stretch from base 1 to 122 matches the Rfam family "5.8S ribosomal RNA", at positions 35 to 154 of the family's 154-position model. The record is from RNAcentral.